This 160-nucleotide ribosomal RNA is filed under the name Nymphoides aquatica. RNAcentral's name for it is "5.8S ribosomal RNA". It matches the Rfam family "5.8S ribosomal RNA". From Rfam's summary of the family: 5.8S ribosomal RNA (5.8S rRNA) is a component of the large subunit of the eukaryotic ribosome. It is transcribed by RNA polymerase I as part of the 45S precursor that also contains 18S and 28S rRNA. The record is from RNAcentral. Lineage: Eukaryota; Viridiplantae; Streptophyta; Magnoliopsida; Asterales; Menyanthaceae.
AUGACUCUCGGCAACGGAUAUCUCGGCUCUCGUAUCGAUGAAGAACGUAGCGAAAUGCGAUACUUGGUGUGAAUUGCAGAAUCCCGUGAACCAUCGAGUUUUUGAACGCAAGUUGCGCCCGAAGCCGUUAGGCUAAGGGUACGUUUGCCUGGGCGUCGUA